GACGAACGCUGGCGGCGUGCUUAACACAUGCAAGUCGAACGGAAAGGCGCGGCUUUUGCUGGGUGCUCGAGAGGCGAACGGGGGAGUAACACGUGAGUAACCUGCCCUUGACUUUGGGAUAACUUCAGGAAACUGGGGCGAAUAUCGGAUAGGAGCUCCUGCUGCAUGGGGGGGGUUGGAAAGUUUCGGCGGUUUGGGAUGGAAUCGCGGCUUAUCAGCUGGUUGGUGGGGUAGGGGCUGACCAGGGCUUUGACGGGUAGGCGGCCUGAGAGCGUGACCGGCGACAUUGGGACUGAGGUACGGCCCAGACUCCUACGGGAGGCAGCAGUGGGGAGUAUUGCACAAUGGGCGGAAGCCUGAUGCAGCAACGCCGCGUGCGGGAUGACGGCCUUCGGGUUGUAAACCGCUUUGGCAUGUGACGAAGCGUUAGUGACGGUAAUGGGUAAAGAAGCACCGGCUAACUACGUG
This 468-nucleotide ribosomal RNA is filed under the name uncultured bacterium. RNAcentral describes it as "partial 16S ribosomal RNA". It matches the Rfam family "Bacterial small subunit ribosomal RNA", at positions 28 to 507 of the family's 1533-position model. The record is from RNAcentral.